GCGGUUUGUCGCGUCUGCUGUGAAAUCCCGAGGCUCAACCUCGGGCCUGCAGUGGGUACGGGCAGACUAGAGUGCGGUAGGGGAGAUUGGAAUUCCUGGUGUAGCGGUGGAAUGCGCAGAUAUCAGGAGGAACACCGAUGGCGAAGGCAGAUCUCUGGGCCGUAACUGACGCUGAGGAGCGAAAGGGUGGGGAGCAAACAGGCUUAGAUACCCUGGUUAGUCAACCCGGUAACACGUUGGGGAACUAGUUGUGGGGUCCAUUCCCACGGAUUCCGUGACGCAGCUGACGCAUUAAGUUCCCCUCCUGGGAGUACGGCCGCAAGGCUAAAACUCAAAGGAAUUGACGGGGACCCGCACAUGCGGCGGAGCAUGCGGAGUAAUUCGAUGCAACGCGAAGAACCUUACCCAAGGCUUGACAUAUACGAGAACGGGCCAAGAAAUGGUCAACUCUUUGUACACUCGUAAACAGGUGGUGCAUGCUUGUCGUCAGCUCGUGUCGUGAGAUGUUGGGUUAAGUCCCGCAACGAGCGCAACCCUCGUUCUAUGUUGCCAGCACGUAAUGGUGGGAACUCAUGGGAUACUGCCGGGGUCAACUCGGAGGAAGGUGGGGAUGACGUCAAAUCAUCAUGCCCCUUAUGUCCAGGGCUUCACGCAUGCUACAAUGGCCGGUACAAAGGGCUGCAAUACCGUGAGGUGGAGCGAAUCCCAAAAAGCCGGUCCCAGUUCGGAUUGAGGUCUGCAACUC
RNAcentral lists this ribosomal RNA (745 nucleotides) under uncultured bacterium. RNAcentral describes it as "bacterial SSU rRNA". It matches the Rfam family "Bacterial small subunit ribosomal RNA", at positions 575 to 1313 of the family's 1533-position model. The record is from RNAcentral.